CUGAGCUCAAACGAUCCGCCAGCCUAAGCCUCCCAGCAACUUGGAUUACAGGCGCACGCCACUGCGCCCGGCGAGAAACGAGAGGAUUUUAAAGGCAUUUGAAGUUAAAUUCGUGACGUCACACGGCUUCUACAGUGGCCUCUUGUGGAAUCGCAGCGGUGUUGACAUUCCGCGCGCCUCUGGCUCUGGCACCGGUUUAAACAUGUCCUAUGGUAGCACAUCCGUUUCUGAAAUCUUGUCCAGUUAUUGUAGGUGACUCUUCAGUAAGAUAUGUAAAAAUAACGCUUACAAUUUGUCUUUUCCCAAUAGCGCUGAUAAUUACUUUAUUGGUGAACAAUUUACUUAUUUACUUACAAUUUACUUGACUUAAUAUGACUGUGACACGGUUUCUAUGUUGUUGUCCUAGCUUACCUUAACGAGUAACUUUAUUUGGGAAUAGUCUUGGUAAGUGGAGUGUGGCAAUAUAUUUUGCAUGAUGCUUUUUUUUUUUUUUUUUUUUUUUUUUUUUUUUUGCAUGAAUACUGAUGGUAUACUCCCUGUUCACCCAUGACUGCAUGGCCACACGUGUACCAACAAUGAUGAGACGGCCUACAGGGAGGAGGUGAGGGCCCUGGCGGAGUGGUGCCAUGAAAAUAACCUCUCCCUCAACAUCAACAAAACAAAGAAGCUAAUCGUGGACUACAGGAGACAGCAAAGGGAGCACGCCCGCCUCCAGCCACAUCGACAGGGCCGCAGUGGAGAAGGAUCUGAGCCCUAGGACCAUGCCUCAGGACUACCUGGCAUGAUGACUCCUUGCUGUUCCCAGUCCACCUGGCCGUGCUGCUGCUCCAGUUUCAACUGUCCUGCCUGCGGCUAUGGAACCCUGACCUGUUCACUGUGAUUAUUAUUAUUUGACCAUGCUGGUCAUUUAUGAACAUUUGAACAUCUUGGCCAUGUUCUGUUAUAAUCUCCACCCGGCCCAGCCAGAAGAGGACUGGCCACCCCUCAUAGCCUGGUUCCUCUCUAGGUUUCUUCCUAGGUUUUGGCCUUUCUAGGUAGUUUUUCCUAGCCACCGUGCUUCUACACCUGCAUUGCUUGCUGUUUGGGGUUUUAGACUGGGUUUUUGUACAGCACUUUUUGUACAGCUGAUGUAAGAAGGGCUUUAUAAAUACAUUUGCUUUAAAUGGUGGACUAUUCUUACUAGGGAGAGCCAAUAUGGCCAAAACAUAGUAUUAUCAAUCCAGUAUUUAUAUACAUCAUUGGGUACAUGUAUAUUUACAGACCACCAAAAUCAAUAUUUAUGAGUAAUUCUCCCCCCACCCACAACUUCUCACCUGAAUGCAUUUUUUAAAAACUUUGAAGUGGUUGGGAAAAGGCUGAAAUGUGGGUUGAGAGUUUCACCUUAAAGGUGAAUGCACUAAAAGUAAUUCUGGAUAAGAGCAUCUUUUAAAUGACUAUAAAAUGCCAUGUAAAUGUGAUUUAUUGUAUGCCUAUGAAAAAUGCAUCAUGCACUUUGUCUCACUAAACUAUGGAGCUAUUCCCCUCAGAGCCUGGUUCCUCUCUACCCAGUACAGCUAGUAGAGGACUGGUCACCCCUCAGAGCCUGGUUCCUCUCUAGGUUUCGUCCUAGGUUCCUGCCUUCCAGGGAGUUUUUUUUCUGUGCUUCAGUCUCUGUACGGUUCGCUCUGUUCUUCAGUCUCUGUACGGUUCGCUCUGUGCUUCAGUCUCUGUACGGUUCGCUCUGUGCUUCAGUCUCUGUACAGUUCGCUCUGUGCUUCAGUCUCUGUACGGUUCGCUCUGUGCUUCAGUCUCUGUACGGUUCGCUCUGUGCUUCAGUCUCUGUACGGUUCGCUCUGUGCUUCAGUCUCUGUACGGUUCGCUCUGUGCUUCAGUCUCUGUACGGUUUGCUCUGUUAAGCACCUUUUCUGUGACAACUGCUG
Oncorhynchus tshawytscha (Chinook salmon) is the source of this 1919-nucleotide long non-coding RNA. NCBI's taxonomy places the organism in Eukaryota, Metazoa, Chordata, Actinopteri, Salmoniformes, Salmonidae. The record is from Ensembl.